UACCCCAAGUUGGCAGCUACAAAUGUCACCUCUGUCCCUGCCAUGUUCUCCCAGGUUUCCCCAGCUGGGAGCUGCAAGGAAUUCAGGCCAGGGAAUGGACAGCAGGGAACAGCUGUACAUGCAAAGGCAGAAAGAGAAGUUUCCCAGGGAGAAGAACAGGAACUCACAGCCACCAAGGCCUGACAGUCCCCUGCAGCCAGAGCUCAGCACACAGCCAGAGAGGCAAUUCCAGCAUCUAAAAGGAAAAAAAAGAACAAAAAAAGUGAUUUAUUUUGUUUUAAAGUUACUUUAAGUUGUUCCAAGCAAAGCAAGCCUUGCUCUGGUUUCAGUUGGGUGAACAGGGAGCGCUGGGCACAGGGCACGUCAUUAAUGCCCAGGGGAUGGGGCUUGGUGGGGGAGGGAAGAGCAGCUGAUGGAGUUGCCCAGUCCAAUUCCUGCCCAAGGCCUGAUGGCCCAGGACAAACCCUCUGGCAGGCAGUGGGUUUGUUCCCUCUCAUGGUCAGUGCCCAGUGUGUCCCUGUGGGCAGUGCCAGGCUGGGGACAGGCACACGCAGCUGGCAGCACUCUCUGCUCCAAAGACACUUCUGGGCUCCUUGGCAAACUGCCUCUGACACUUGGUUUUCUCCAGCAGAAAUUAAGGAAUUGCUCAUGGCAGUUUGGAGAUGAAGUUAUCCCAAAGGGAAGGAAAGAACAAAUAUUCCUGUCAGAGCCCUUGGGAUCUGCUGGGCUGAAUUGGGAAGGGCCCCUUAUCUGCAGAGCAAAUACAGGACAGCCUCAAACACAAAGCCCAGCCUGUCCAGUGGGGUGUGAAAGCACCACUGGGACAAACCUCCACUCUCCUGAUUCUUUCCAGGGGCUGCUCCGACCCAGCUCUGAAGCUGCCAAGCCCAAACUGUCCCCAGCGCUCUGGAACAACAGGAUCUUCCCAGGGAUGAUGCACUGGAAGCACAGCCCUCAUUCUCACCCUCCACACGCUCCCAGGCUCACCCCAAAUUCAGGACAAGGGGCCAAAGGCCACUCGGGCCGGGGCUCUCUCUGUCUCUGUGGGCUCAGGGACUGCAGCCACCAGGGCCCUCCAGCACGGACAGCCUGGACCCAGAGCAGAUCCCUGGGCAUUGGCAGCGUCCUGGGCACACCUGGAGACAGAAACCAUCAGCCUCUGGGACAGCACUUCAUUGCCAGCACACACAGCCUGCCACAUUUAGGGGGGCAGCUCUCGGAGCACAAAGCCCAGUCUGACCCAGUUCUCCUGGGCACCAACACGGACUCCACAGACCCACAGGAAUGAGAAUGUUCUGCUGCUUUGACAAACUUCAGCCCAGCUUUGCAAACCUCAGUCCCUGCAGCUCCUGCUCUCCAGAGCCCCGUUCAGGGCUGGCUCCAGUUCCCUGGAGAACCUGCCCCAGCCCCACUCUGGGCCAGCCUGAGCAGAAGCCACUGGGCUGCACAAGGAAGAACCCUCCCCUGGCUGCUGCAGCUGGAGGGAGAUCCAGCUCCCAAUGGAACCCUGGCAACAGCCUCCCAGAGGGUCUCUCCCCAGCCCUUGGCAGUGGCUCAGAAUGGCAGCAGCUCCAGUGCCAGCUGGGUCCCUGCACGAGUCCUUGUCCCAGCCCUGCCCCACGGACACACACGGGAGACACCCACGGGCACACAGGCCUUGCUGGCACAAUUCCUCACCCACAGCUGAGGGAAAGCCACACAACAGUUCUCUUAGAAAGAUCCUGGACAGGAACUCAGACAACAGAACCCAAACACUGCCAAGCAAUAACAGAAGGUUUGCCAGGAAGAACAGGAGUUCCUUGUUUUCCUUAACACCCUGGGACUGGAGGACCCAAUCUUUGCAACCAAGGGACACCAGAGAUGUGAUUAAUACUUAAACCUCUCCCCCCUGGUUCUGUCUCAGAGAACUGGGCCAGCCCUGAGCUACUCCCAGGUGCCUGCAGUGCUUUGGGGAGGGGCAGGACAAUGUCCCACUUCUGCUUGGAAACAUUCCAGAUGAGGAAAAGCCACUUCCCUUCUCUCUCUCUGACCCAGAACCAGAACAGUCCUGUAGGACAACACGGACUAUGCACGGAAGGCCCGAGUCAGUGGGGGAAAAAGCACCCUAAACAAAGCAAACCACCCCAAAUUUCCAGAUAAAAACACGCUGCUUCCUUAACAGGAGCACACCAAACUCAUUGAAGCCAGAGAGGAAAUCACAAACAAAUAAAAGACCCAAAAGGAUGCUUUGCACUGAUACACUCUCUGGUUGAUCAUCCCAAAGGAGAUUCUCCACAGAUCAGAAGCAAUUACCAAUUACUUGUCCUCUGUGGAAAAUUAACAACUUGAGGGGCUGGACAUGUCCAGUGAGGGUUCAGGGUCUGGUGGGUCCUUUAUGGCUGAUCCUGACCGGCCCAGGCCAAACCCAACCACCCCCAUGGCUGCUCCAUCCCAGACCUGGGGCAACAUUCAGACAGUUUGGAAACACUGCCCUUCCCUGCUACUCCGUCCUCCCUUACACAUCCAGUGCCCAGGGAGCAAAUGCCAACAGCAGGA
Molecule: long non-coding RNA, 2535 nt
Organism: Pipra filicauda (Wire-tailed manakin)
Lineage: Eukaryota; Metazoa; Chordata; Aves; Passeriformes; Pipridae
Exons: 3
Source: RefSeq, a predicted model, not a curated record